Long non-coding RNA from Megalops cyprinoides (Indo-Pacific tarpon), 741 nucleotides. RefSeq lists it as uncharacterized. Lineage: Eukaryota; Metazoa; Chordata; Actinopteri; Elopiformes; Megalopidae. The record is from RefSeq and is a predicted model, not a curated record. The transcript is spliced from 3 exons.
UCACAUCUACAGUACUUGUUACCCGAAGGAAGAACAAGAUCCCAAACAGUCAUCACUGCUGUCUUGUAGAAAACUGAACUGAAAAUGAAGUUUAUUUCCUUGGCAAUUCUUGUGGUCCUCAGCAUGUGUGUCCUCCACUGCACCACCGCACAGCGCUCCGAGAGCAGCAGGCAGGAAGAGGUUGGUGAUGAAGAACUGCAGAUGGAUGACGUCAUGAUUUUCUCAGCUGAGAAGAGUCAGAUGGAACAGUCGAACUUCAGGGCAAAGCGGAGCGGCCGAUCGUGCAGAUUCUGCUGCAAGAAUGGACACUGUGGAAUCUGCUGCUCUUUCUGAGGUGGCUGUGGCUUCUGUAGUAGCCAGAAGAAAGCAUAUCUUAGGAUCUGAGUAUUUACGAGGGAAGCCAACGUGUACUCUGCUGCAUCAUAAAAUAAAAGCUCCACGUCUUGCAAGUGAAAUGUAAACAUUGUUUCAUCUGGUUUGAUGCCCACAAGUACCUACUCAUCAAACGAUGGUAAAUCUGUUCUGGUUGACAAGUGUUAUUUUCAUCAAAAUCUCAAAACGCAUCUCUCUUAACGUCAAUGACUGACCGAGGAGUCAGGGCUAGAAAGACCCCUGAACUGGAGGGGCGUCUGAUUUUUAUCAUCUCUUUGUUGAUAAAUGUACUCAGCAAGGUGAAAUACAACAUACAUGGGCCAUCAAAUGUACUUUUGGUGCUUAUUUGUCAUUCACAUAUUGUCCAAU